GAUGAAGAACGCAGCGAAAUGCGAUACGUAAUGUGAAUUGCAGAAUUCAGUGAAUCAUCGAGUCUUUGAACGCACAUUGCGCCCCCUGGUAUUCCGGGGGGCAUGCCUGUCCGAGCGUCAUUUCAACCCUCAAGCUCUCCGGAGUUUGGUGUUGGGGCGCCUGGGGCUUUUCGACCUCAGGGCCCUCAAGUCCAUCGGCGGGACCGCCAGGACACUGAGCGCAGUAGUAUUAUUUCGCUCGGUAGGAUCUUCCACGGCGGGUCGAUCUGGCCGCUAAACCCCCCAAUUCUCACCAAAGGUUGACCUCGGAUCAGGUAGGAAUACCCGCUGAACUUAAGCAUAUCAAUAAGCGGAGGA
Molecule: unclassified non-coding RNA, 357 nt
Filed under: soil metagenome
Description: partial contains 5.8S ribosomal RNA, internal transcribed spacer 2, and large subunit ribosomal RNA
Rfam family: 5.8S ribosomal RNA (bases 1-120)
Source: RNAcentral